Non-coding RNA from Apaloderma vittatum (bar-tailed trogon), 253 nucleotides. The record is from the annotation of a RefSeq genome assembly. Lineage: Eukaryota; Metazoa; Chordata; Aves; Trogoniformes; Trogonidae.
CCCUCUGGCCUCUCCUUCAGCAGCUUUGCCCUGUACUGGGUCCGUCAGGCCCCUGGGAAGGGGCUCAAGUGGGUCGCAGGGAUUUACAGCGGGGGCAGCUACACCUGGUACGCUCCGUCGGUCAAGGGUCGCUUCACGAUCUCGAGGGACGACGCGCAGAGCACGGUGACGCUGCAGAUGAGCGGCCUCGUGCCCGACGACACGGCCACCUACUACUGCACCAAAAGUGCUUAUGCUGGUGCUGUUAAUGCUG